UUCCAAUGGUGUCUUCUAUUUCACUGAAGAUAAAUUGCCAAAGCAAAGCAAAAUACAUUAAUUCCAAAGUGUAAUACUGAGAAGACAUGGAAACUGCAAUCUUCAGAAUUUACAUGUAAGAAAAGACUGAAAAAGUGUGGGUGAGUGUAUGGGGCAUGUUACAAUGGACUUAACCAAUGUUCAUCCACUAUUCAUAGCAAAAUCUUUCAAUGUAAUAAAUGUGUGAAAGUCUUUAGUAAAUCUUCAAUAAUAAAUAGACAUAAGACAUGCUGGACAUAUUGGAGAGAAAGAUUUUAAAUGUAAAAAAAGUAACAGAUUAUUUUAAAUGUCUUAAAUUGUAAGUCAACAUCAGAGAAUCAAUACCGGAUGGAAUCCCCACAAAUGUAAAUAAUGUGCCAAAGGCUUUAAUAAGUGCUCACACUUAACUGAAAAUAAGGGAAGUCAUAUUGGAGAGAAACAUUGCAAAUGUAAUGAAUGUAGCCAAGUGGUUAAAUCUUGCUCUACCCUUUCUAUUAUUAAGAGAAUUUAUGCUGAAAAGAAACCCAACGAAUGUGAAAGAUGUGGCAGAGUCUUUAAGUGGUCCUCAUCCCUUACUCAACAUAAGAGAAUUCAUCCUGGAGAGAAAUCUAUAAAUGUGACAAAUGUGACAUAGUCACAGUCUUCAAAUUUUACUAAACGUGUAAUACUUUGUAGUGGAGAGAAACCCUACAAAUGUGAAGAGUGUGGCCUUUAAAUUGUUGCUAUACUUUACUCAACGUAAGGACAUUCAUACUGCAGUGAAACCAUAUAAAUGGGUAAUAUGUGGCAGAGCUUUUAUAUGGUUUUCAUACCUUACUAGACAUCAGAUAACUCAUCCUGGAGAGAAAUUCUACAAAUGUGAAGAAUGUGGCAAAGCCUUUAAUCAGAGCUCACACCUUAAUGAACAUAAGAACAUUCAUACUGGAGGGAAACCCUGAAAAUGUAGAGUGGGACAAAGCCUUUAACACUCAAAUCUUGCUAAUCAUAAGGCAACUCACACCAAAUAGAAACCAUACAAAUGUAAAGAAUGUGCCAAAGCCUUUUACCAGUUCUUACACCUUACUGUACAUGAGGAAAUUUAAACCUGAGAAAAAUUUUACAGAUGUGAAGAAUGUGGCAAUGUCUGUAAUACCUGUUAUCUUACUUGAUAUGGAAGAGUUCAUACCGACUAGUAGUGUUAUAAAUGUAAUUACUGUCUAAAGACAUUUUACAAAAUACAAGCCUU
RNAcentral lists this long non-coding RNA (1243 nucleotides) under Homo sapiens (human). RNAcentral describes it as "non-protein coding lnc-ZNF92-2:1". Lineage: Eukaryota; Metazoa; Chordata; Mammalia; Primates; Hominidae. The record is from RNAcentral.